This 849-nucleotide ribosomal RNA is filed under the name uncultured Thermoplasmatales archaeon. RNAcentral describes it as "bacterial SSU rRNA". It matches the Rfam family "Archaeal small subunit ribosomal RNA", at positions 61 to 915 of the family's 1478-position model. The record is from RNAcentral. Lineage: Archaea; Methanobacteriati; Thermoplasmatota; Thermoplasmata; Thermoplasmatales.
UGAGGGUUCGGCCCUCGGCAGACGGCUCAGUAACACGUAGAUAAUUUGCCCUUAGGUGGAGGAUACCCUCGGGAAACUUAGAAUAAUACUCCAUAGAUCUAGACUGCUGGAAUGCUUUUAGAUUGAAAGAUUUAUCGCCUAAGGAUAAGUCUGCGGACUAUCAGGUUGUAGUCAGGGUAACUACCUGACUAGCCUACGACGGAUACGGGUAGUGAGAGCUUUAGCCCGGAGAUGAUAUCUGAGACACGAUAUCAGGCCCUACGGGGCGCAGCAGGCGCGAAAACUUCGCACUGUGCGAAAGCACGACGAGGGAAUCCCAAGUGCUGGCUCGUAAGAGUCAGCUGUUUCUCUGUCUAAAAAACAGAGAGAGUAAGGGCUGGGUAAGACGGGUGCCAGCCGCCGCGGUAAUACCUGCAGCUCAAGUGGUGGCCGCUAUUAUUGGGCCUAAAACGUCCGUAGCCGGUUCUAUAAAUGCCUGGGUAAAUCGUACGGCUUAACCGUACGAAUUCCGGGUAGACUGUUUAACUUGGGACCGGGAGAGGCUAGAGGUACUCCUGGGGUAGAGGUGAAAUUCUGUAAUCCUAGGGGGACCACCAGUGGCGAAGGCGUCUAGCUAGAACGGGUCUGACGGUGAGGGACGAAGCCCUGGGGAGCAAACGGGAUUAGAUACCCCGGUAGUCCAGGGUGUAAACGCUGCUCGCUUGAUGUUAGUCGGGCUCCGAGCCCAACUAGUGUCGGAGAGAAGUUGUUAAGCGAGCUGCCUGGGGAGUACGGUCGCAAGACUGGAACUUAAAGGAAUUGGCGGGUGAGCACCGCAACGGGUGGAGCGUGCGGUUUAAUUGGAUUCAA